UCUUUCCUGUUGAAACCCUCAAGAAAAACUCACCUUUUUUAUUAGUCUUUGUUUGUUUUGCUGGCUGUUGUUGUCGAAGCUUGGGUACGGAGGAUAAUCCUUGGAGGACACAAAUUGUUUUAUUCUAUUUAAAGUUUAUUUCUUUUUGGCUUGCUUGAUUUCACUAAAUUUUUGUAACGUUAUGUAUGGUUGAUGAUGUGUGUGAUUGCUUA
Rosa chinensis is the source of this 212-nucleotide long non-coding RNA. RefSeq lists it as uncharacterized. NCBI's taxonomy places the organism in Eukaryota, Viridiplantae, Streptophyta, Magnoliopsida, Rosales, Rosaceae. The transcript has 2 exons. The record is from RefSeq and is a predicted model, not a curated record.